Molecule: transfer RNA, 71 nt
Filed under: Acholeplasmataceae bacterium
Lineage: Bacteria; Bacillati; Mycoplasmatota; Mollicutes; Acholeplasmatales; Acholeplasmataceae
Description: tRNA-Ile
Rfam family: tRNA
About the family: Transfer RNA (tRNA) molecules are approximately 80 nucleotides in length. Their secondary structure includes four short double-helical elements and three loops (D, anti-codon, and T loops).
Source: RNAcentral
GCGCCUAUCGUCCAAUGGUAGGACACCCGGCCGAUUACCGGAUAAUGAGAGUUCGAAUCUUUCUUGGCGUA